GCGGGCGUGGCGGAAUUGGUAGACGCACUGGAUUUAGGUUCCAGCGGCGCAAGCCAUGGGGGUUCGAGUCCCUCCGUCCGCACCA
This 85-nucleotide transfer RNA is filed under the name Klebsiella pneumoniae. RNAcentral's name for it is "tRNA-Leu". It matches the Rfam family "tRNA". From Rfam's summary of the family: Transfer RNA (tRNA) molecules are approximately 80 nucleotides in length. Their secondary structure includes four short double-helical elements and three loops (D, anti-codon, and T loops). Further hydrogen bonds mediate the characteristic L-shaped molecular structure. tRNAs have two regions of fundamental functional importance: the anti-codon, which is responsible for specific mRNA codon recognition, and the 3' end, to which the tRNAs corresponding amino acid is attached (by aminoacyl-tRNA synthetases). tRNAs cope with the degeneracy of the genetic code in two manners: having more than one tRNA (with a specific anti-codon) for a particular amino acid; and 'wobble' base-pairing, i.e. permitting non-standard base-pairing at the 3rd anti-codon position. RNAcentral also lists the same sequence under 2 other names. Lineage: Bacteria; Pseudomonadati; Pseudomonadota; Gammaproteobacteria; Enterobacterales; Enterobacteriaceae. The record is from RNAcentral.